UGGUAUCCUGUCUGAAUAUGGGGGGACCAUCCUCCAAGGCUAAAUACUCCUGACUGACCGAUAGUGAACCAGUACCGUGAGGGAAAGGCGAAAAGAACCCCGGCGAGGGGAGUGAAAAAGAACCUGAAACCGUGUACGUACAAGCAGUGGGAGCACAGGUUUACCUGUGUGACUGCGUACCUUUUGUAUAAUGGGUCAGCGACUUAUAUUCUGUAGCAAGGUUAACCGUAUAGGGGAGCCGGAGGGAAACCGAGUCUUAAUUGGGCGUUAAGUUGCAGGGUAUAGACCCGAAACCCGGUGAUCUAGCCAUGGGCAGGUUGAAGGUUGGGUAACACUAACUGGAGGACCGAACCGACUAAUGUUGAAAAAUUAGCGGAUGACCUGUGGCUGGGGGUGAAAGGCCAAUCAAACCGGGAGAUAGCUGGUUCUCCCCGAAAGCUAUUUAGGUAGCGCCUCGUGAAUUCAUCUCCGGGGGUAGAGCACUGUUUCGGCUAGGGGGCCAUCCCGGCUUACCAACCCGAUGCAAACUGCGAAUACCGGAGAAUGUUAUCACGGGAGACACACGGCGGGUGCUAACGUCCGUCGUGAAGAGGGAAACAACCCAGACCGCCAGCUAAGGUCCCAAAGUCAUGGUUAAGUGGGAAACGAUGUGGGAAGGCCCAGACAGCCAGGAUGUUGGCUUAGAAGCAGCCAUCAUUUAAAGAAAGCGUAAUAGCUCACUGGUCGAGUCGGCCUGCGCGGAAGAUGUAACGGGGCUAAACCAUG
This 765-nucleotide ribosomal RNA is filed under the name Salmonella enterica. Its description in RNAcentral is "partial 23S ribosomal RNA". It matches the Rfam family "Bacterial large subunit ribosomal RNA", at positions 427 to 1191 of the family's 2925-position model. Lineage: Bacteria; Pseudomonadati; Pseudomonadota; Gammaproteobacteria; Enterobacterales; Enterobacteriaceae. The record is from RNAcentral.